UCUCCCUUGAGUACAUACCUGGAUCACACAGUGCUGGGUCAUGUUGUGCUUAGAACCAUAGAAACACAUAACCGUUGUAACCAUACCCUGUUUGACAAGCCUGCUCGCUAUUGUGAAUAUCCCUUGACUGAUCAUAUGGAAAGUACUGAAAUGCCCCCCCUUGGUAACCAGCAAUCAUGGAAACCGCUUGUAUACCCUCCUUAAUCAACAAUCAUGAGAGACUCCUACCCACUAGUUACCAGCCUUCUCCCCUAACUUGCUCGUUCUGCUUCUGUAAAAUUCCACUUUGCCCCCUUACCCUGCGCAACAUAUAAAAGGAAAUCACACUGCUUCCUCGGGGCCAAGAGAUUUUGAGCGUGAGCUGACUCUCUGUUGCUGGCAAUAAAGGACUCACCAUCAGAUCUCAGAGAGUGGUGCUUUCCUAACAACUCCUUGGAUACAACAGUUGGAGGCCCCCGUGAGAUUUCACCACCAGGCUUGAACCAGAUUCAUUCCGAGCUCCCCUGGACGAAUGGCAGACUACAGGGGAGGCACCCCCUGAGACGUUCCAGGGCCCCAUAGGCCACUGCCUUCCGCAGGAGAAUGGAUCGACUGCCAGAGUGCCCACCAAAUUCAAAUCCUGAGUCCUCAGCUUCAGCUCCAGGGAAAUCUCUUUUAGAGCACCCAACAAUACAUGGUUGGCCUGCACCACAGGUCUCACCCGCUGCAUCAGUGGAACUGAACUCAGACUGUGUACAGUGGACCAGGAGGACAACAUCUCAUCGCCCGAAGUACACUCCAGAGUUUGCUGAGGUGCCCCCACUACUUGUGACCUUACCUACUUGUGGGUCAGCUGCUAUCGGCACUGCAGCCCUAGUCUGAGGAGAGACUGGACUAGUAUCUUUGUCCCAACAAGUCAAUGCUGAUAUAGGAAAUCUCCAGUCCACCAUAAAUAUGUUGCAUACCCAGGUAGAAUCCCUAGCUGAAGUUGCUCUUCAAAACCGCCGAGGCUUAGAUUUGCUGUUUCUUUCCCAAGGAGGCUUUUAUGUGCUGCUUUAGGAGAAAGCUGUUGUUUUUAUGCUAAUCAGUCUGGAAUCAUUAAAGACACUUUUCAAAGGGUGCGAGAAAACUUAGACGCCAACAAGAGCGAGAAAAUAACACCCCAUGGUGUCAAAAUAUGUUCACCUAGAGUUCAUGGCUAACUACCCUAAUAAAUGGGCUAGCAGGACACCUUCUACUCCUCCUGUUAGGCUUAAUCUUUGGGCCCUGCAUCCUUAAUUGGUUCCUAAAUUUCAUAAGACAGUGCAUAGUGUCUGUCAAACUUUGGUAUCUCAGGACCCAAUAUAACCCUGGUUAUAAAUAAAGAGUCAAUGGUUUGACUCCCCCAAAACACAAAUUGGCAAUGAGGUGAACCAAACUACCUCCAUCUUAGAAGUGAGCCUGACUGACUCCAUCUUGGCUUUCCCCCACCCCCCGUCAUUCCUCCCUUGAGUGCAUACCUGGGUUACACAGUGCUGGGUCAUGUUGUGCUUAGAACCAUAAAAACAUAUAAGUGUUGUAACCAUACCCUGUUUGACAAGCCCACUUGCUAUUGUGAAUACCCCCUCGAUUGAUCAUAUGGAAAGUACUGAAAUGCCCCCCUUGGUAACCAGCAAUCAUGGAAACCGCUUGUAUACUCUCCUUAAUCAACAAUCAUGAGAGACUCCUGCUUCCUAGUUACCAGCCUCCUCCCCUAACUUGCUCAUUCUGCUUCUGUAAAAUUUCGUUUUGCCCCCCUUAUCCUGAGCAACAUAUGAAAGGAAAUCACAUCCCUUCCUCCGGGCCAAGAGAUUUUGAGCAUGAGCUGACUCUCGGUUGCCAGCAGUAAAGGACUCACAAUCAGAUCGCAGAGAGUGGCGCUUUCCUAACAACUCGCUCUGAUACAACGGUUUAAUAACUGCUUUAAAAUCUCUGUCUACUGACUCAAGCAUGUGGGGAUUUAGAACUGGUCUCUCCGUUAGUUGUCUUUUCUCUUGAAAAUUGGGUGUGUUUUCCUGUUUUUUUCUCAUAUGUUGACUCACUUUGUAUUGUAUCCUAGACAUUGUGAUUCUUUAAAAUCUUUAAAUUUUUAUUGCUACUAAAAAUGGCACACAAAAAAAUGAAAGUAGAUGAUUCAAAUGAAUUAAUAUUCAUAUUAAAUAUGAUUAACUGCUCCAUGAUGUAUAUGAUUCAUGUGUACUAUAUGAUCAACUGUCUCUAGCCAUGCAUAAAAUACAAUCCCAGCAUUUUCUAAUUUAUUAAGAGCUUAGAAUAUGACUGAUCCUUUAAUGUAAUUUUUUAACUAUGAUAUUUGGUAGAAACUGGAUUAUUUUAUGUUCCCUCAAAAAUCAUUAAUUUUCUUUGUUUUAGGAGUCACUUAUUUGGACUCAACUGCAAAAUCUGACUUAUGGGAAGCAACUCAAAAAGCAGUUUGGGUCUUUCAUUUUUAAUUGGACUACUUAGAAUUUAUUCUAUAUGCAUGAUUUAGUGGUCAGUGGAAGACUGGGUAGAGUUUAUACAUAAAAUCUAGGCUUCUACCUCUCUUUUACUUAUGGUAUUCCUCUUUACUUUCCAGAAGCUGAUUGUCUCAACUUCUGUCCUUUAGCUUUUUAGACCAGAAAAGCUGUGAUCUACCAGAAUUCCAGCCACUUCUCAUGGUGCAGACUGAAGCCUACUCUCAUGCAAGAAUCUGUAAAAACAAGUGAAACUCACUCAGGGGUGUUCCCUUCUUUCAAAGCUUAUCUCCCUUCCUGCUUUUGCUUACUUUUUAGUGCCACAGGUGGUAUGUAUUGUAUUUUGUGCAAAGGUCAAAAUACAAUAGAAGGUUUGUGUGCUUGGAGUUUAUGCAGCUCUUACAAGAAAAAACUACACUCAAACAUUUGGUAUGAAGUUUAAAUUUCUGUAAAAGAAUUGAAUGAGAAUUGAGGAUUGUAGUGUGAAGGAGCUGUAGAUUCUGUAUUAGAGAAUUUAGAAGAAUUUAGAUCAAUCCUACUUGUUUCUGACUUACAAUGUCAAUCUAUUUUCAAUUAACCACACACUUUUAGUGGUUUAUCCAGACUCUUCCCAAUCAACUCACUUUUUUCAUCACAUAUCAGCAUCUUUUCUAAGAAUCUGUCCAUUUCCUCCGGCUUAUUGAAUUUGUUAAUAUACAAUUGUUCAUCGUGUUAAAUACAAGAAGUUCCUUUUUAAAGGGUUUAGUUGGUUCCCUUGUUCUUUAUUUCCAGCUUUCAAGGCCGAACUUCCUUAUCCUUUGUGCCUCCCUGACCUGGUUUCAGUAAACAACUAUCCCCCCAGUCCUAAUCUGCAAAGCGACAUCUGCUACUCACUAUGUAAAUUACUUCUCCCACUUCAAAGGCUCUUCCCACCAAAACUUCCCUUCCCUUCUCAUUAGGCACACCCCUGUGCUCUUCAGGUUAGCCAAUUGGGUUCAGCUUAGAUUGUGUGGUCCAACUCCAGCCAACAGAGGCAGGAUACAGUAGCAGGGACAAACUGCAUUAAAAAUAAAAACCUCUUCCCUCUUU
Molecule: non-coding RNA, 3518 nt
Organism: Callithrix jacchus (white-tufted-ear marmoset)
Lineage: Eukaryota; Metazoa; Chordata; Mammalia; Primates; Cebidae
Source: RefSeq, a predicted model, not a curated record